RNAcentral lists this transfer RNA (75 nucleotides) under Sedimentisphaera salicampi. It matches the Rfam family "tRNA". From Rfam's summary of the family: Transfer RNA (tRNA) molecules are approximately 80 nucleotides in length. The record is from Rfam by way of RNAcentral. Lineage: Bacteria; Pseudomonadati; Planctomycetota; Phycisphaerae; Sedimentisphaerales; Sedimentisphaeraceae.
UGCGGGAUAGAGCAGGCUGGUUAGCUCGUCGGGCUCAUAACCCGGAGGUCACAGGUUCGAAUCCUGUUCCCGCUA